This 630-nucleotide ribosomal RNA is filed under the name uncultured bacterium. RNAcentral describes it as "partial 16S ribosomal RNA". It matches the Rfam family "Bacterial small subunit ribosomal RNA", at positions 61 to 690 of the family's 1533-position model. The record is from RNAcentral.
GUCGAGCGAAGCGCUCACGCGGAAUUUUUCGGAAGGAAGCGGGAGCGACUUAGCGGCGGACGGGUGAGUAACGCGUGGGUAACCUGCCCCAUACCGGGGGAUAACGGUUAGAAAUGACCGCUAAUACCGCUUAAGCGCACGAGGCCGCAUGGCCGCGCGCGAAAAACUCCGGUGGUAUGGGAUGGGCCCGCGUCUGAUUAGCUAGUUGGCGGGGUAAAGGCCCACCAAGGCGACCAUCAGUAGCCGUCCUGAGGGGGUGGCCGGCCUCUUUGGGACUGGGACUCGGCCCAAACUCCUACGGGAGGCAGCAGUGGGGUUUUUUGCGCAAUGGGGGAUACCCUGACGGGGGGGGGCGGAAAAAGUGAAGACGUAUCUCGGUCCGUCAAGCUCUAUCAGCGGGGAAGAAGGAAGACGGUACCCGACUAAGAAGCCCCGGCUAACUACGUGCCAGCAGCCGCGGUAAUACGUAGGGGGCGAGCGUUAUCCGGAUUUACUGGGUGUAAAGGGAGCGUAGACGGCGUCGCAAGUCUGAAGUGAAAGCCCGUGGCUCAACCGCGGAACCGCUUUGGAAACUGCGUGGCUGGAGUGCUGGAGAGGUAAGCGGAAUUCCUGGUGUAGCGGUGAAAUGCG